GACGAACGCUGGCGGCGUGCCUAAUACAUGCAAGUCGAGCGAACACAAGAGGAGCUUGCUCCUCUUGGUUAGCGGCGGACGGGUGAGUAACACGUGGGCAACCUGCCUGUAAGACUGGGAUAACACCGGGAAACCGGUGCUAAUACCGGAUAAUCCUUUUCCUCUCAUGAGGAAAAGUUGAAAGUCGGUUUACGCUGACACUUACAGAUGGGCCCGCGGCGCAUUAGCUAGUUGGUGAGGUAACGGCUCACCAAGGCGACGAUGCGUAGCCGACCUGGGAGGGUGAUCGGCCACACUGGGACUGAGACACGGCCCAGACUCCUACGGGAGGCAGCAGUAGGGAAUCUGCCGCAAUGGACGAAAGUCUGACGGAGCAACGCCGCGUGAGCGAUGAAGGCCUUCGGGUCGUAAAGCUCUGUUGUUAGGGAAGAACAAGUAUCGGAGUAACUGCCGGUACCUUGACGGUACCUAACCAGAAAGCCACGGCUAACUACGUGCCAGCCGCCGCCGUAA
This 513-nucleotide ribosomal RNA is filed under the name uncultured bacterium. Its description in RNAcentral is "partial 16S ribosomal RNA". It matches the Rfam family "Bacterial small subunit ribosomal RNA", at positions 28 to 523 of the family's 1533-position model. The record is from RNAcentral.